AUACAGAGGGUGCAAGCGUUAAUCGGAUUUACUGGGCGUAAAGCGCGCGUAGGUGGCUAAUUAAGUCAAAUGUGAAAUCCCCGAGCUUAACUUGGGAAUUGCAUUCGAUACUGGUUAGCUAGAGUAUGGGAGAGGAUGGUAGAAUUCCAGGUGUAGCGGUGAAAUGCGUAGAGAUCUGGAGGAAUACCGAUGGCGAAGGCGGCCAUCUGGCCUAAUGCGGACACUGAGGUGCGAAAGCAUGGGGAGCAAACAGGAUUAGAUACCCUGGUAGUCCAUGCCGUAAACGAUGUCUACUAGCCGUUGGGGCCCUUGAGGCUUUAGUGGCGCAGCUAAAGCGAUAAGUAGACCGCCUGGGGAGUACGGUCGCAAGACUAAAACUCAAAUGAAUUGACGGG
Molecule: ribosomal RNA, 395 nt
Filed under: uncultured bacterium
Lineage: Bacteria
Description: partial 16S ribosomal RNA
Rfam family: Bacterial small subunit ribosomal RNA
Source: RNAcentral